GUCGACUUGAUGGAUUGAAGAGCCAUGGGUUGGGUUGGAAGGAACCUCAUAGAUCAUAGAGUGGUUGUGUUGGAAGGGACCUCAUAGAUCAUAGAGUUGUAGAGUGGUUGGGUUGGAAGGGACUGUGUGGGUCACAGAGCUGUAGUGUGGUUGGGUUGGGUGGGAUUGGAAGAGUCCUUAUGGAUCCCAGAGCCACCAAAUGGUUGGGUUGGAAAGGGUCUUAAUUGAUCACGGAGGCAUAGAAUGGUUGGGUUGGGUUGGAAGGGGCCUCACAGAUCAUAGAGUCAUAGAGUGGUUGGGUUGGAAAAGACUUUGUAGAUCACAGAGCUGUAGAGUGGUUGGGUUGGAAGGGAUCUUAUCGGUCAUGGAGCCAUGGAAUGGUUGGGUUGGGUUGGAAGGGACCUCAUAGAUCAUAGAGUGGUUGGGUUGGAAGGGACCUCAUAGGUCAUAGGGACGUAAAAUGGUUGGGUUGAGUGGGAAGGGGUCUUAUAGGUCUACCUUACGGAUUGCAGAGCCAUGGGUUGGGUUGGAAGGGACCUCAUAGAUCACAGAGCUGUAGAGUGGUUGGGUUGGAAGGGAUCUUAUCGGUCAUGGAGCCAUGGAAUGGUUGGGUUGAGUUGGAAGGGACCUCAUAGAUCAUAGAGUGGUUGUGUUGGAAGGGACCUCGUAGAUCAUAGAGUUGUAGAGUGAUUGGGUUGGAAGGGACUGUGUGGGUCACAGAGCUGUAGUGUGGUUGGGUUGGGUGGGAUUGGAAGAGUCCUUAUGGAUCACAGAGCCACCAAAUGGUUGGGUUGGAAAGGAUCUUAAUUGAUCACGGAGGCAUAGAAUGGUUGGGUUGGGUUGGAAGGGGCCUCACAGAUCAUAGAGUCAUAGAGUGGUUGGGUUGGAAGGGACUGUGUGGGUCACAGAGCUGUAGAGUGGUUGGGUUGGAAGGGAUCUUAUCGGUCAUGGAGCCAUGGAAUGGUUGGGUUGGGUUGGAAGGGACCUCAUAGGUCAUAGGGACGUAAAAUGGUUGGGUUGAGUGGGAAGGGGUCUUAUAGGUCGACCUUACGGAUUGCAGAGCCAUG
This 1067-nucleotide long non-coding RNA is filed under the name Gallus gallus (chicken). RNAcentral's name for it is "lncRNA (ENSGALG00010007764.1)". Lineage: Eukaryota; Metazoa; Chordata; Aves; Galliformes; Phasianidae. The record is from RNAcentral.